GGAGCUCACGCACAAGGACACACACUACAUCACAGCACUGCACGAUGGCUGCCGGUCUGGUUCAGGUCAGGAGAGGACGGUGUUAGAGUUUGAUGCCCCUGAGUCAGACUCUCUCCCCCUCAUCGAUGUCUCUGUCUCCGACUUCGGACACAACAACCAGAAGUUUGGCUUCCAACUGGGUCCCGUCUGCUUCAACGGUUAACGGCAGCCCUCCACAGCCGGUAACUGGGAUGAGACGGCCGGUAACAGGGUUGAGAUCCACGGACAUUUACACAGGGGAAACCAGGAGACUGACUGAUGCCGCCAGAGAGAUAUUUAUAUAGCUUUACCCCAGCACUCAUCCAUUCAUACUAACAAACACUCAUCCAUUCAUACUAACAAACACUCAUCCAUUCAUACUAACAAACACUCAUCCAUUCAUACUAACAAACACUCAUCCAAUCAUUAAUUCCUACUAACAGACACUCAUCCAUUCAUUCAUACUAACAAACACUCAUCCAAUUAUUAAUUCCUACUAACAGACACUCAUUCACUCAUCCAUUCAUACUUACAGACAUUCAUUCAUGAAUUCAUCGAUUCAUCCAUUCAUACUUAGACAUUCACCCAUUCAUCCAUUCAUACUAGCAGCCUGGUAAUGGGGUUGAGAUCCACAGACAUUUACACAGGGAAAACCAAGAGACUGACUGAUGCUAUCAGAGAGAUAUUUAUAUAGCUUUACCCCAGCACUCAUCUUUUCAUACUAACAGACACUCAUCCAUUUGUCAUUCAUUCAUACUUACAGACACUCAUUCAUCCAUUCAUACUUACAGACACUCAUUCAUUCAUUCAUCCAUUCAUCUUUUCAUAAUUACAGACACUCAUUCAUUCAUUCACCCAUUCAUCUUUUCAUAAUUACAGACACUCAUUCAUUCAUUCACCCAUUCAUCUUUUCAUAAUUACAGACACUCAUCCAUUCAUCCAUUAAUUCCAGCAGACACUCAUUCACUCAUCCAUUCAUCCAUUCAUACUACACACACUCAUUCAUGAAUGCAUCCAUUCAUUGAUUCCUCUGUUAAUACUUACGGACACUCAUCCAUUCAUUCAACCAUUCAUCCAUUCAUUCUUACAGACACUCAUUAAUUAAUUAAUCCAUUGAUCGAUUUAUCCAUUCAUACUUAGACACUCAGUCAUUCAUACUUACAGACAUUCAUCCAUUCAUACUUACAAACACUCAUUCAUUCAUCCAUUCAUACUUACAGACACUCGUGCAUCAAUUCAUCCAUACCUUCAUGCAUUCAUUCAUUCAUCCAUUCAUCUAUUCAUCCAUACCUACAUUCAUCCAUCCAUACCUACAUUCAUUCAUACACACAGUGCAUUGUCCAUUCACACAGUUGCUCACUCAUUCAUUCAUCCAUCAUUCCUGCAUUCACUCCUUCUAUAUUCACUCAUUCAUCC
Oncorhynchus keta (chum salmon) is the source of this 1434-nucleotide long non-coding RNA. RefSeq lists it as uncharacterized. The transcript is spliced from 2 exons. The record is from RefSeq and is a predicted model, not a curated record. NCBI's taxonomy places the organism in Eukaryota, Metazoa, Chordata, Actinopteri, Salmoniformes, Salmonidae.